Molecule: unclassified non-coding RNA, 356 nt
Filed under: Hevea brasiliensis (rubber tree)
Lineage: Eukaryota; Viridiplantae; Streptophyta; Magnoliopsida; Malpighiales; Euphorbiaceae
Source: RNAcentral
AAUAUGAGAAACGCAUCACGUACCCAUUGAACCAAUUCCAAAUACAACUCAGUACCAAAAUGAAAAUUAUGAGGCUACUGCUAUGAAAAACGUUACAACUCAUUUCGUUUAGUUCCUCGCAACUAGCAAUGAAACAAUGCCUAGCCGGUACAAGAUAUACAAGGGACUAUCCCCAAAAGAAAAGAAUAAAAAAUCACAAAAAAGAAAGAAGCUCUCUCUAUAUCCAAAUUUUCUUCUACCUAGUCCAAGUAUGAAAAUUAGAUUACAAGAUAAUACAAAAUAUAUAAGCAAACCAUUUUUUUAGAGCAAAAGGCAUCAAUUAACUUGGGUGCUUCUCUCUUUGCAAAGCAUGUGCC